GUGCCAGCAGCCGCGGUAAUACGGAGGGUGCGAGCGUUAAUCGGAAUUACUGGGCGUAAAGGGCGCGUAGGCGGUCGCGCAAGUCGGGUGUGAAAGCCCCGGGCUCAACCUGGGAAUUGCAUUCGAUACUGCGUAACUAGAGUCUGGUAGAGGGAAGCGGAAUUCCGCAUGUAGCGGUGAAAUGCGUAGAUAUGCGGAGGAACACCAGUGGCGAAGGCGGCUUCCUGGACCAAGACUGACGCUGAGGCGCGAAAGCGUGGGGAGCAAACAGGAUUAGAUACCCUGGUAGUCCACGCCCUAAACGAUGAGGACUAGACGUUGGGGGGAUAAAACCCUUUAGUGUCGCAGCUAACGCGUGAAGUCCUCCGCCUGGGGAUACGGCCGCAAGGUUGAACUUAAAGAUAGUGCGUGAGACGAGUCGACGACGACACACGGAGGAGUG
This 442-nucleotide ribosomal RNA is filed under the name uncultured bacterium. Its description in RNAcentral is "bacterial SSU rRNA". It matches the Rfam family "Bacterial small subunit ribosomal RNA", at positions 505 to 1400 of the family's 1533-position model. The record is from RNAcentral.